AGGUUUCCGUAGGUGACCUGCGGAAGGUCAUUAAAAGAAAUUGGUUAUACAUUUCAUGCAUCAACUGUUUAAACCCAUUCUGUGUACCUUGCCUGUUGCUUCCAUGGAGCCUGACUUUGGUCACUCUUGUGAUGUAAAUCCCAAGGGAGUCCCCAUGGAAGGUCAUCAAUAAAACUCAUGUAUCCAAUGUCUUCUGUCUGAACUGUUUAUAACAAUUGUUAAAACUUUCAACAACGGAUCUCUUGGUUCUCGCAUCGAUGAAGAACGCAUCGAAAUGCGAUAAGUAGUGUGAAUUGCAGAAUUCAGUGAAUCAUCGAAUCUUUGAACGCACAUUGCGCCUCCUGGUAUUCCGGGAGGCAUGCCUGUUCGAGCGUCAUUAAAUACCUCUCAAGCACCAUUGCUUGGUCAUGGAAGAUGAGUAUGCUUGCAUUCUCCCUUCUGAAAUUCAAAGGCGGAUCAUCUCAUAUUCCCUGGCGUAGUAAGUGUUUAUCUUUCCCUUGGAGUGUCUGACAGUCUUGCCAUCGACCCCCAUUAUUUCAUGGUUGACCUCGGAUCAGGUAGGGAUACCCGCUGAACUUAAGCAUAUCAAUAAGCGGAGGAA
Molecule: ribosomal RNA, 601 nt
Filed under: uncultured fungus
Lineage: Eukaryota; Fungi
Description: eukaryotic LSU rRNA
Rfam family: 5.8S ribosomal RNA (bases 223-376)
Source: RNAcentral